UGCAAGUCGAACGAUGAGAGGGAGCUUGCUCCCUGGAUUAGUGGCGAACGGGUGAGUAACACGUGAGUAACCUGCCCUUGACUCUGGGAUAAGCACUGGAAACGGUGUCUAAUACCGGAUACGAACUUCAGCCGCAUGGCUAGGAGUUGGAAAGAAUUUCGGUCAAGGAUGGACUCGCGGCCUAUCAGCUAGUUGGUGAGGUAAUGGCCCACCAAGGCGACGACGGGUAGCCGGCCUGAGAGGGUGACCGGCCACACUGGGACUGAGACACGGCCCAGACUCCUACGGGAGGCAGCAGUGGGGAAUAUUGCACAAUGGGCGCAAGCCUGAUGCAGCAACGCCGCGUGAGGGACGACGGCCUUCGGGUUGUAAACCUCUUUUAGUAGGGAAGAAGCGAAGUGUUUUACAUGGAGUGACGGUACCUGCAGAAAAAGCACCGGCUAACUACGUGCCAGCAGCCGCGGUAAUACGUAGGGUGCAAGCGUUAUCCGGAAUUAUUGGGCGUAAAGAGCUCGUAGGCGGUUUGUCGCGUCUGCUGUGAAAACUGGGGGCUCAACCCCCAGCCUGCAGUGGGUACGGGCAGACUAGAGUGCGGUAGGGGAGAUUGGAAUUCCUGGUGUAGCGGUGGAAUGCGCAGAUAUCAGGAGGAACACCAAUGGCGAAGGCAGAUCUCUGGGCCGUAACUGACGCUGAGGAGCGAAAGCAUGGG
Molecule: ribosomal RNA, 709 nt
Filed under: uncultured bacterium
Lineage: Bacteria
Description: bacterial SSU rRNA
Rfam family: Bacterial small subunit ribosomal RNA
Source: RNAcentral